ACGGGAACACAGCCUCCCGGAUCUUGACGAACAGAUGGUGUCCCAUCCAAGUGCUGA
Hydrogenophaga sp. Root209 is the source of this 57-nucleotide non-coding RNA. NCBI's taxonomy places the organism in Bacteria, Pseudomonadati, Pseudomonadota, Betaproteobacteria, Burkholderiales, Comamonadaceae. The record is from Rfam.